ACGAUGAUAGCUCGUUGUCGGCGAUACACAGUCGGUGACUUAGAGAAAUCGAUAAGCUAUCCACCUGGGGAGUACGUUCGCAAGAAUGAAACUCAAAGGAAUUGACGGGGGCCCGCACAAGCGGAGGAACAUGUGGUUUAAUUCGAUGAUACGCGAGGAACCUUACCCGGGCUUGAAAGUUAGUGACGGAUCAGGAAACUGAUCUUCCCUUCGGGGCACGAAACUAGGUGCUGCAUGGUUGUCGUCAGCUCGUGCCGUGAGGUGUCGGGUUAAGUCCCAUAACGAGCGCAACCCCUGCUGAUAGUUGCCAUCAGGUUAAGCUGGGCACUCUAUCGGGACUGCCUCUGUAAGGAGGAGGAGGGUGGGGAUGACGACAAAUCAGCACGGCCCUUACGUCCGGGGCGACACACGUGUUACAAUGGUAGGUACAGAGGGCAGCCACCCAGCGAUGGGGAGCAAAUCUCGAAAGCCUAUCUCAGUUCGGAUUGGAGGCUGAAACUCGCCUCCAUGAAGUUGGAUUCGCUAGUAAUCGCGCAUCAGCCUGGCGCGGA
RNAcentral lists this ribosomal RNA (551 nucleotides) under uncultured bacterium. Its description in RNAcentral is "bacterial SSU rRNA". It matches the Rfam family "Bacterial small subunit ribosomal RNA", at positions 806 to 1363 of the family's 1533-position model. The record is from RNAcentral.